This 374-nucleotide ribosomal RNA is filed under the name uncultured bacterium. RNAcentral's name for it is "bacterial SSU rRNA". It matches the Rfam family "Bacterial small subunit ribosomal RNA", at positions 523 to 898 of the family's 1533-position model. The record is from RNAcentral.
AUACGUAGGUGGCAAGCGUUGUCCGGAAUUAUUGGGCGUAAAGGAUGCGUAGGUGGUCCUUUAAGUGGGAUGUGAAAUCCCUGGGCUUAACCCAGGAAUUGCAUUCCAAACUGGAGGACUAGAGUGCAGGAGAGGAAAGUGGAAUUCCCAGUGUAGCGGUGAAAUGCGUAGAGAUUGGGAGGAACACCAGUGGCGAAGGCGGCUUUCUGGACUGUAACUGACACUGAGGCAUGAAAGCGUGGGGAGCAAACAGGAUUAGAUACCCUGGUAGUCCACGCCGUAAACGAUGGGUACUAGGUGUAGGGGGGACCCCCCUCUGUGCCGCAGUUAACACAUUAAGUACCCCGCCUGGGGAGUACGAUCGCAAGAUUAAA